GUAGGUGAACCUGCGGAAGGAUCAUUAACACUCGACAAUCAUAAGUCGUUAAAACUUGUACCCAACCCAACAAACUUCCACGAGCUAACCCCGUCCACGGACGUGAUAAAAUCCCCUUUAUAUUUCGGGGGUAUAUUGAGUAUUAUAUUUGACAAUGAUAACGUCAUAUGAUUGAGAAUUAAGGACCUAUUUGGCGUGUUCUCUGCGCAUUUUUGCCAGGUGAUUGGUCGAAAGAUUAGUUAUUGGGUAG
This 250-nucleotide unclassified non-coding RNA is filed under the name plant metagenome. Its description in RNAcentral is "partial contains small subunit ribosomal RNA, internal transcribed spacer 1, and 5.8S ribosomal RNA". The record is from RNAcentral.